AGAGUUUGAUCAUGGCUCAGAACGAACACUGGCGGCGUGGAUUAGGCAUGCAAGUCGAACGAGAAAGUUUCCUUCGGGAAACGAGUACAGUGGCGAACGGGUGAGUAACGCGUGGGAAAUCUGCCCUUUUGUGGGGGAUAACAGCUCUAACGAGCUGCUAAUAUCGCAUAAGCCCUUUGGAUCGCAUGGUCCGGAGGGGAAAGAUGGCCUCUACAUGUAAGCUGUCGUAGAAGGAUGAUCCCGCGUCCCAUUAGCUAGUUGGUGGGGUAAAAGCCUACCAAGGCGACGAUGGGUAGCCGGCCUGAGAGGGUGUCCGGCCACACUGGGACUGAGAUACGGCCCAGACUCCUACGGGAGGCAGCAGUCGAGAAGCUUCCGCAAUGGGGGAAACCCUGACGGAGCGACGCCGCGUGAGUGAAGAAGGCCCUAUGGGUUGUAAAGCUCUGUCAGAUUGGGAAGAAAACUUCACGGGGAAUAUCCGUGAAGCUUGACGGUACCAUCAGAGGAAGCACCGGCUAACUCCGUGCCAGCAGCCGCGGUAAUACGGAGGGUGCAAGCGUUGUUCGGAUUCACUGGGUAUAAAGGGUGCGCAGGCGGCCCAAUAAGUCAGAGGUGAAAUAUGACGGCUCAACCGUCAAACGGCCCCUGAAACUGUUGGGCUUGAGUUCGAGAGAGGUAGGUGGAAUUCCAGGUGUAGCGG
Molecule: ribosomal RNA, 700 nt
Filed under: uncultured bacterium
Lineage: Bacteria
Description: bacterial SSU rRNA
Rfam family: Bacterial small subunit ribosomal RNA
Source: RNAcentral